AUGGAAUUACCAGAAGGAUGUAGU
RNAcentral lists this non-coding RNA (24 nucleotides) under Arabidopsis thaliana (thale cress). The record is from RNAcentral. Lineage: Eukaryota; Viridiplantae; Streptophyta; Magnoliopsida; Brassicales; Brassicaceae.